UUCAAGUUUCAACUCGAUCUCUGCUAACUGCUGUCCGACUGCAGUGAAGCAAUGGGUUCCAAGGCAGGGGGAAGUUCGGUUGAUUUAUGGUCAAAAAUCGUAGGUGCAGAUGCACCACAACAGCAGCAGCAACAAAUCGAGGUGGUCUACAGAAGAAGAAAAACCCAGAACAACCAAAAGGACUUGAACUUAAAGCAUUCUGAUUUCGGUCGCCCGCCUGCGAAUCGCGUGAGUUUGGUCGACCCAAACAAGCUAGUCAGUUGGAAUCGAU
This is a long non-coding RNA of Prosopis cineraria, 271 nucleotides long. RefSeq lists it as uncharacterized. The record is from RefSeq and is a predicted model, not a curated record. The transcript has 3 exons. NCBI's taxonomy places the organism in Eukaryota, Viridiplantae, Streptophyta, Magnoliopsida, Fabales, Fabaceae.